UAUUGUCACAUCAGUAAUUCUUCGGGAGCAAACAACAAUCAAUGGUAUUUGCAACACUAUCAUUUAUUGCUUUUAGCCAACAAUCAAGCCAAAGGUAUUCUUUACUCCGCCAUGCAUUAAAUGAAGCUGUGCGUGAGACCUGCGUUUGAAUGUGUGCAAAUCGACAAAAUUUGUGCUCACACAGAGAAGUAACGUCUUUCAAACUGUUCAUGUCCUGCGUGAUAACGCCAAGAUCAGUUUGUGAAUAAGGAAGAGCAGGUGCAACCUGGAGUUCAUAUUUGGAACAGGAGCAACUGGGAGCUCAUAGAUAUGGACAGGAGUGACAGGCAAGUGUUCACCGUUAGGCUGGAAUCCAGCAGUCCACGUUGAAGUAAACUUCUGGCCUUCAGAGGAAACCCAGCAAGAUGACCCUUUGGUGGUGUUGGCUAUGACUUCGUCAUUAGUUUCUUUUCUGUAAGAGUCGUAGGUAAUUCUUUGCAUUUUCCUCUGAACUCGACAUUCUUCAGGGGUAGUGUAUUCAUACUGGGCAUACCUUUAGGUUGGAAAAAUAAAUUUUUUUAAAUGUGA
Long non-coding RNA from Daphnia carinata, 567 nucleotides. RefSeq lists it as uncharacterized. The record is from RefSeq and is a predicted model, not a curated record. Lineage: Eukaryota; Metazoa; Arthropoda; Branchiopoda; Diplostraca; Daphniidae. The transcript is spliced from 2 exons.